GAAAACUAUAAAGUGUAAUAAACAAAGGCAACAGUAAUCAUCAGUUACCAUAAAACCUUUUAAAAUAUACAAUAAAAAUAUAUGACGAUGAAGACUAGAUGAAUUCUACAAAGAACCUGAUUAUUAUUAUAAAUAUUGAUAUGAUCAUUCUAAAACAUUUCUUCUAUUUUUCUACACAAAAUUAUUAAUCAGAUUACAUGUGGGAUUCGGUUUUUUAAUAUUGCAACUUUUGCAAGCUAGUAUCAACACACUCUGAAGGAUCUAUAUUGUUUUACACAAAAAUGUGUUUGUUGAACUAUAUGAUAAGACUACAGUAAAUAUAGAAAUUUUUGCAAUUCUAAAACUUGUGAUUGGAAAGGUUGAUAAACACAAAUUAUAACUUACAUCUAAAAAAUUUAAAGAAUUAUGUAUGUGCAGUAAUUCUAAUCAUUGUAAUAAUUAAUCUGUAAUAAUAUUUUCUAUUGAACCAUUGCAAUAAUAUAAGCAUGCACAAAUUUCUGAAUUUGCAGUACUAUAUUUUAAGAUGAAAUUAUAUAUCUUUCACAUUUCAUUAUUUAGUAUCACACAGUUUUACAUUACAUUAGUAUAACCCUAUGCAACAUUUCUGUAGUAUGACCCUAGGUAACAUUUCAUUAAUAUGACCCUAUGUAACAGUUCUUUAGUAUCACACAGUUUUACAUUACAUUAAUAUAACCCUAUGCAACAUUUCUGUAGUAUAACCCUAUGCAACAUUUCUGUAGUAUGACCCUAUGUAACAUUUCUGUAGUAUGACCCUAUGUAACAUUUCUGUAGUAUGACCCUAUGUAACAUUUCAUUAAUAUGACCCUAUGUAACAUUUCUUUAGUAUGACCCUGUUUGACAUUUCAUUAGUAUAAAUAUACUGGCUAAAUUAAAAUAAAGUCUCAUUAUGUAAAUAUUGAAUCACAGCAAAUAAAAUAUAAUAUCAUUCUUUUUAAUUUGAUCUACAACUUGUCAAAGGCAAACUUUACAAUAAAUAUCAAAUUUAAUAUCUACAAACAUGAUAACACAAAGUGUGGGAUAACUGAUUAGUUGCAUGAGUUUUUGCAGUCUGGAGACAAAUGAUCACCCAAACUGAAUUAAUUUGAAACUGAUCUGUAACUGGUCAAGGUAAACUAUUUAUCAAAUUUCAAAUGAAUAGCUUCAAGCAUGAUGAAAAAAGCGCAGAAAACUUAUUAAUUGAGUAAAUUUUUGUCCAAUGACCAUAACUGAGUUACUCUGUGCAAAAUCAUCAGACAGGAUCAAAUUUAAACUUGAUCUGUAAGUUGUCGUGAUAAAACUAUAUACCAUAUAUCAAAUCAAUAUCAAGCAUGAAGAAAUAAAUUGGUGAGCGCAGCUGGAUACGACCGCAGAGGUCCAACACUGAACAGUUGGGGCAAAAAUGGACACAAUAUUCGUGCUUGAUACAGGUCUGAAUUUGGAUUGUUAUUAAAUAUUUGACACAUAUUAGGUUUCUGAUACAAUAACUGUAGUCGAAGAACUUAGAAUUGGUUAUAUGAUUUGAAUUUAUAUAUUUUUUGCUUUUGAGUAAUAGCCCCCCCCCCCUCCCCCUUUUUUUGGCAAAUAGUCCAUACCCUGACAUUUCUUUAUACAUAAUUUAGAAGUAGUGUAAAUAUUUUAGAAUUAACUCCCUUACACUGCUUUUAAAUUGUCUUAAUUGUCCAUUGACCAGAAAAGCCUAGUUUUUUCCUCCAAACUCAAUACUAACCAUCCCUUCAUGGUAUGGAAACUUGUGAUAUAAUUUCAGAGAGAUUCAUACAAUUAAACACAAGUUAUGUUUGGAAACUACAAAAAUGCUUAUUUGGGCCCUUUUUUAGCCCCUAAUUCCUAAACUAUUGGGACCAUAACCCCCAAAAUCAAUCCCAACCUUCCUUUAUUGGUACGACAUGAUAGCAUUCUACGACGCAAAAAAUGCUUUGCUGUCAUAUAAAAAGUGUGGAGAACUGAUUUGCGAGAGCAAACCAAAAGUGCCAUUUGGCUUUGCAAGUAGGGGACUAAUAAUGAAAUAUUAAAACAAACUUCAUAUAAUAAUGAUAAAGAUUGUGAUGUAAUAAAAGGCAGUACGUAUUGUCAAAGGAACAAAAUGUGGCAGUUUUGAGUGCUGAUAUCAACAUACCCGUAGCCAGGGGGGUUCGAGGGGUUUGGACGAACCCCCCUUGAAAACAAAUAAGCACUGUUAAAGUCAAUGUUCUGUUCGAAUUGUGACUGUUAAAGUCAAGUUUGUGAGUCCAACGAACCCCUCCUUAAAAAUUCUUGGCUACGGGCCUGAUCAAAUUGGUCAAAAUAUCAAAACUGAGAUCAACUUUGAAAUACAUUAAUUAACUUAAAAAAAAAUUUCAAGUUUAACACAUAAGGUGAUGUCAUACUUAACCUAUAAAUGGAUAUAACUAAUAAAAAUUCACUAAAUGCUAUUCAUAUGUACUUCAUCAACAUAAAUUAACUAAAUUGCUUGUGACCUUCUGGGAUUUUUUUAUGGUCUGCUUUAGCUAGAAAGAGAAAACAAGUUUUCACACGUUCUUUUAAUGUUUAAACUAAAGCUUGAAAUCAUUAUAAAUUUUCUUUGGUUUUUAAUAUGAAUGUAAAAAUAUCCUUACUUUAUAGAGCCUUGAACUGAUCUGUAUAUCUUCUUUUUUAAGACAGAUAAUUCAUUUUUGU
Molecule: long non-coding RNA, 2673 nt
Filed under: Mytilus galloprovincialis (Mediterranean mussel)
Lineage: Eukaryota; Metazoa; Mollusca; Bivalvia; Mytilida; Mytilidae
Source: RNAcentral